Molecule: ribosomal RNA, 441 nt
Filed under: uncultured bacterium
Lineage: Bacteria
Description: partial 16S ribosomal RNA
Rfam family: Bacterial small subunit ribosomal RNA
Source: RNAcentral
CCUACGGGUGGCAGCAGUGGGGAAUAUUGCACAAUGGGGGAAACCCUGAUGCAGCGCCGCCGCGUGAGCGAGGAAGUAUUUCGGUAUGUAAAGCUCUAUCAGCAGGGACGAAAAAAGACGGUACCUGACUAAGAAGCCCCGGCUAACUACGUGCCAGCAGCCGCGGUAAUACGUAGGGGGCAAGCGUUAUCCGGAUUUACUGGGUGUAAAGGGAGCGUAGACGGCAAGGCAAGCCAGAAGUGAAAGGGCAGGGCUCAACCCUGUACAUGCUUUUGGAACUGGAUGGCUGGAGUGCAGGAGAGGUAAGUGGAAUUCCUAGUGUAGCGGUGAAAUGCGUAGAUAUUAGGAGGAACACCAGUGGCGAAGGCGGCUUACUGGACUGUAACUGACGUUGAGGCUCGAAAGCGUGGGGAGCAAACAGGAUUAGAUACCCUGGUAGUC